GAGCUUAUUCAUAAAAGUGCAGUACGAGCCGGUGAGCCUGUCGUUUUAUGUAUAAGCUCGU
Molecule: microRNA precursor, 61 nt
Filed under: Oryctolagus cuniculus (rabbit)
Lineage: Eukaryota; Metazoa; Chordata; Mammalia; Lagomorpha; Leporidae
Description: microRNA ocu-mir-590 precursor
Gene: ocu-mir-590
Source: miRBase by way of RNAcentral